This 1779-nucleotide long non-coding RNA is filed under the name Gossypium barbadense (sea-island cotton). RNAcentral's name for it is "long non-coding RNA (GBAR_LNC015309)". The record is from RNAcentral. Lineage: Eukaryota; Viridiplantae; Streptophyta; Magnoliopsida; Malvales; Malvaceae.
CGCGCCAAGCAAGGGGAAGGGCUCCGGCAAUACUAUAUCCAACACAUACUUCUGCCUCUUUAGUGCUUCAUAGCUAUUUAUGGAUACAUUUGUGAUUUUGGUUCCUAUCAUCUGUGUUAUGGGGUUCGCCAUUUAUUGGCGGAAUUUUCGGGAAAGCUGAGGUGAAGAACGGUGAGGAGGAAAGGAUGUGGUUCAGCUUCAAAUCGACUGAUUGCUGGCUUGUAUGAAAGAAGCACUCGACAACCAACUAAGGUAUGCAGCUUUGGAGCCUUAAUACUUGUGGAAUUGUUUGUGCAUGUAUCUCCUAAUUUUUUUGAUCCUGUUGUGUAAGAUAUUAAGAUAGGUGUGUCUUAGUAUUGAUAUUGUUCUUGGCUGGGCUCAGUCGGUGCAUGAUUUCGGUGUGCUAAGAGCAGUUUUCGAAUCUCCCUUAACCAAAAUAAAAUAAUAAAAAGGAAGAUAAAGCAAUUUUAUGGUAACUUUUAGUAGACUAAAUGCAAGUCCAAGUCUAAUAGCUGAGCUAUAGUCACAUUGGAGUUCUAGGUUUAUGCUUGUUCUGCUUUUAUUAAAGAAGCAUCCUUGUUUAUGGCUUGGUGGACCAUAUUCGUGUGGGUCGUUAUUACAUCAGCUAGUCUGGUUUUUUAUCUUUGUUUUGCGUUUGCCUUUAGAAUUUGGCCCUAGGCUUGGAAUUUUUGCCUAAUUUUGGAUAGAGAUUGUUUUGCUUGAACCAGAUUAUUACAGAUGUUUUAAUACAUGGGGCAAGAAAACUGUUUUUGGAUGUUGUUUCAUUUUGGUUUAUUUCAUUACCACUUCUAUAUUCUUCCCUGUUUAAGGAUGUAGUAGGAACACUUUAGAAGUGUUCGAGUAUAGGAUGAUGUGAACUAUAGUUGAAGCUUUUUCGGUUUCAUAUCUAUCGCUAGUAAGAGAAGCAUGAAUGGCUGCAGGGUGCAUAUCUGGAUUUCUGAGACUGAGCUACUACCAGGUGAUAUAUUUGUUAUCAUCUCCAUAUAAAUAACUGUCGUUAUGAACCAAGCAAUAUAAUUUCCCAGCACACUUUUCAUCAAUGUUUUCCCUCUAUACUAUCAUGUGGAGUAUAAGGACAGUGUAUUUGCUUUAUGAUAUCUUGACCUGCAUUUUGCUCUCUUAAGGUACAUAAUGUUUUCCCAUGUCAUGCUACAAAACUGUCAUCCUAUCAUUAAGCUGCCGUGUGAAAACAUGCUAUAAUUGACAUAAGUUUUUUUUUUUUUUACUAUCAUUUAAGUAUUAUGAUUUUGGACGAACAGUUUCAGAUUAUAUAGGAAUGCUGAAGUGUCUUUUCCUCACUAUCUGUCCUCGACUUUUGGAGUACCUUUACAUGUUCAUAUUUAUAGUUUUGAACUCAAAAGCUAUACAAUUGUUUGCAUUGACUUCUUACUUCUGAUUGACAGACUACUUUUAUCAUUAUCGAGGUGUAUCUUGCUUGUCUUGUAUAUAUGUAGGAAAUGGAAUUUGUUGCCAUGACCUGUGAGGAGAAACAGAGACCUUUACCUUAUUCUCUGCCCCCCGUAAAAGGUGAGCUAUUGCUACCUUAGCUUAGCGUUCAUCUUUCCGGUCUAAGCUCAACGAUGAGCUCUUUAGAUGUUCAUUCUGUUCUGAUUUUGAAAGCUGAUGAUUAUGUAGUUUGAUGUAUGAUAGAUGAGCUUCAAAGGGCAGUCAUGAUGUUGCUUGGACACUGAAGUAAUGUGUAUAAUUGCAGCUUUUUGGCAUAUCCUUUUAAGUCGAUAACAGCUAGUUGCUGCUAUG